Molecule: long non-coding RNA, 2928 nt
Organism: Cydia fagiglandana
Lineage: Eukaryota; Metazoa; Arthropoda; Insecta; Lepidoptera; Tortricidae
Exons: 2
Source: RefSeq, a predicted model, not a curated record
CGCAAUUUAAUUAUGUUACUUGCUGCUACGGAGCCCUUCAUGGGCGAGUCCGACUCGCACUUGGCCGCUUUUAUUAACACUUGGCGCGCAGAGCAACUUCUGCUGCUGACUAUGUUAUGGGUAAGGUCGCCAAAAUUAUUGUCUACUGCUAAUUUUAUGGAACUGUAAGACGAUACGUAUUUUAGAUUUGUGUUGUGUUUGUGUGAGUUUAUAUCAAUAUACUCAAAAAUAUCUACCCAAAUAAAAGCCAACCUACUGAAAUAAAGUUUAAUUCACAUUAGUUUUGUGUUAUGGUUCCAUUACAGGCCAUAGAAUUAGCAAACAUUACUUAAGGUGGUAUUCCAUCUGGCCAAUAUCUUAAUCCAAUGUCAUUACGUCACACUCUUUCAUUAAGCAAAAUGUGAGACAAAAUACACAUUGGACAAAGAAAUUGGACAGGUGGAAUACCACCCUUAAGGCUCCGACACAGGCGCGUUUGGCGGGCGUCGCGUGAGCGGGGCGCGCCGCUUUUACAUAUAAAACGCUCACGCUUCGCCCGGAAAUCGCGCCUGUGUGACGGAACCUUUAGAAGUAUCAUCAAUUCCGUCAGAUAAAGUAAAUUGUGUUAAACUAUAAUAUUAAUUUGUAUGAGAUUACCGCGUCUUGGUAUAAAUCGUGUACUCAGUGCCGGAUUUACCACUAGGCUGAGUAGGCUGAAGCCUAGGGCGGCAGAUUUUAGGGGCGGCAAAUUUGGGUCAAAAAAAUAUUUAGGGUAGACCAGAAUUUAUUUGUAAUAUUUAAAUAACAAGCAUAAUUUGUCGAUUUUGCCGCCCUCUGAUGUCAUGUCAAGAAUCAUUUCCUAUCAAUCAUUUUCUCGAAAAAAAUUCGCGCUCGCUACGCUCGCGUUUUCGUUUAACUAACUACGUUUUAUUGUGACCCAUCUGACCAUAUCAUUGAAUGAUAGCACAGAACCUAGUAGAACGCCAGCGGUAAUGUCCACGGUAUCGCAGCAGCUUCCGUCUACUAUACGGCUCAUAUGCGUCUACCGGAUAAAAAGCUAGUGAUCCAUUUGUAUAAUUUCUCGAGCAGACACAAUGCCAGACCCGACCGAACUCCUUAGCUAUGUCCAGCCUGACUGCCAAUGCCUCACCUUGAUUCUCAAUAGCCAAAACCCAGCGGUACCCACCGGUCGCCGAUCAGAUCAGGCAAAUAUAAAGAGUGUAUCUAGAAUGUGACAGUGACGUCACCUUAUAUGCAUUUUACACACCAUAUCCAUAUGGCUAUGGUGUGUUGUACUAUGAAAUUAAACGCCUCUGACAGAAAAGUAUUUUAAAAAACCUAUAAGCAAGGCGGAUAGGGGCGGCAAAAUCGGCAUAGCCUACGGGCGGCAAAUGUCUAAAUCCGGCACUGCGUGUACUUAUACUUUUAUGAAAUUUCGCGGCUCCAUACAGAAACUGGCUCUGUGUCGAUCUGGGGGGCGAUUUUUGAAUUUCGAGUGCUCGAUCUCUCGUCACUCGGAAACGGCGAAAUGCUGAUUUUUCAAAUACGAGCGAUAGAAAUUGCAAAUCUAGGGGUAAUGAAUAACCAAUUCUAUUGGACUCUGUUGUUGACCGUACAUAGUUUGUAUUGGUUCCCAUACAUUCCACGACACUUCUCUUUCCGCACAGACUAGUAGAAUUAAAUACCUAGUAGUGGAGAUAUUAUUAAAGGGAGAACACGAAAUCGAGUGAUCAAAAUUCAAAAAUCGGUUCCCUGCAUUUUUGAAGAACGACGAGAAUUAACGAGAUAAUACGGUUCCCUUUAUUAUGAUAUUUUGACGAAAAAAAAAUAGUUAAUCAGACUUUUUUUGUUUCAAACUAUCAUGUUACCUACUCUAUCUAACUUCUUUGUUCGACCUGUCUCUAACUUCUUUGUCCAAUGUGUAUUUUGUCUCACAUUUUGCUUAACCUUUUGGACGCCAAUGACCGAUAUAUCCGUAGGUCCAACGCCAAAGACGGAUUAAUCGGUCACAGACCACAGAGCAACAUAGACCUACGUGCAUAUGCAUAAAGUUCAAUUUCAGUUUUGACACUUCGGCGACGUGGCGUCCGAGUGACAGCUUUUGUGUUUGACACGGCGUCGAAAGGGUUAAUGAGGGAGUGAGACGCAAUGACAUUGGACCAAGAUAUUGGACUGAUGGAACACCAUCUUAAAGCAGGCCACUGACGAGCCUUCCAAAUGGAUGCCGUUACAAUGGAUUCAUCCAAAUGGACGGCAUCCUAAUAUUAAACAUUGUACGUUUUUGACAUUCACGGACAGAUUUUGGAUUGCAGCCACACUAUUUGGACUGUUGGAAGGCUCGUUAGUGGCCACCCGGGUCCAUAUUGGGUCGCAUAAUAAUUGAUUGUCCUAAUGUAAUGUUACGCAUAAAACUCAUUUCGCAUAAUUAUUAUUGUGCUCGAAAUAUUAACAUUUCUGAAAAUUAUAACACAAACCUAACCUAACCUACCCUAUUCUACACAACCUAUGCAAAAUAUUUUCUAAAAUACUUUCUGUUUCAGCUGGUGAAAAAAUAUGCGAAAUGAGAUUUAUGCGUAACAUUACAUUAUGACAAUCAAUUAUUAUGCGAUGAGAUAGGAUCCCUGGCCACCCUAAUAGGGAAUACAAAUUGGUUAUUUUUUGUAUGGUAAUAACCGCGGUUUCGGUUAAUAACCGAUUAUUUCCAUACAAAAAAUAAGCGAAAAUAACCGAUUUUCAUUCCCUACCUACACCCUAAGUCUAGAUAUCGCUUUGUUCACUUGUUAGUGUUAAUUUUAAUCCUACUCAAUAAUUUCGGCGGCCUUAUUCAGCACCAAGCCAUUUUACUUAAUCAUGCCUCUGAUACUUCCAGUUUUAUAUGUAUUUCAUAAUUAAUGUACUCUUAAAGAUUGUCCUGUAAAACAGACUGCCAAUAAACACGUGUCACCUUUA